UGCAGUCGAACGGAAGGCCUCUUCGGAGGUACUCGAGUGGCGAACGGGUGAGUAACACGUGGGCAAUCUGCCCUGCACUUCGGGAUAAGCCUGGGAAACUGGGUCUAAUACCGGAUAGGACCUCAAGACGCAUGUCUUCUGGUGGAAAGCUUUUGCGGUGUGGGAUGGGCCCGCGGCCUAUCAGCUUGUUGGUGGGGUGACGGCCUACCAAGGCGACGACGGGUAGCCGGCCUGAGAGGGUGUCCGGCCACACUGGGACUGAGAUACGGCCCAGACUCCUACGGGAGGCAGCAGUGGGGAAUAUUGCACAAUGGGCGCAAGCCUGAUGCAGCGACGCCGCGUGGGGGAUGACGGCCUUCGGGUUGUAAACCUCUUUCACCAUCGACGAAGGUCCGGGUUUUCUCGGAUUGACGGUAGGUGGAGAAGAAGCACCGGCCAACUACGUGCCAGCAGCCGCGGUAAUACGUAGGGUGCGAGCGUUGUCCGGAAUUACUGGGCGUAAAGAGCUCGUAGGUGGUUUGUCGCGUUGUUCGUGAAAUCUCACGGCUUAACUGUGAGCGUGCGGGCGAUACGGGCAGACUAGAGUACUGCAGGGGAGACUGGAAUUCCUGGUGUAGCGGUGGAAUGCGCAGAUAUCAGGAGGAACACCGGUGGCGAAGGCGGGUCUCUGGGCAGUAACUGACGCUGAGGAGCGAAAGCGUGGGGAGCGAACAGGAUUAGAUACCCUGGUAGUCCACGCCGUAAACGGUGGGUACUAGGUGUGGGUUUCCUUCCUUGGGAUCCGUGCCGUAGCUAACGCAUUAAGUACCCCGCCUGGGGAGUACGGCCGCAAGGCUAAAACUCAAAGGAAUUGACGGGGGCCCGCACAAGCGGCGGAGCAUGUGGAUUAAUUCGAUGCAACGCGAAGAACCUUACCUGGGUUUGACAUGCACAGGACGCGUCUAGAGAUAGGCGUUCCCUUGUGGCCUGUGUGCAGGUGGUGCAUGGCUGUCGUCAGCUCGUGUCGUGAGAUGUUGGGUUAAGUCCCGCAACGAGCGCAACCCUUGUCUCAUGUUGCCAGCGGGUAAUGCCGGGGACUCGUGAGAGACUGCCGGGGUCAACUCGGAGGAAGGUGGGGAUGACGUCAAGUCAUCAUGCCCCUUAUGUCCAGGGCUUCACACAUGCUACAAUGGCCGGUACAAAGGGCUGCGAUGCCGUAAGGUUAAGCGAAUCCUUUUAAAGCCGGUCUCAGUUCGGAUUGGGGUCUGCAACUCGACCCCAUGAAGUCGGAGUCGCUAGUAAUCGCAGAUCAGCAACGCUGCGGUGAAUACGUUCCCGGGCCUUGUACACACCGCCCGUCACGUCAUGAAAGUCGGUAACACCCGAAGCCAG
Molecule: ribosomal RNA, 1371 nt
Filed under: Mycobacterium sp. DWMJ-251A
Lineage: Bacteria; Bacillati; Actinomycetota; Actinomycetes; Mycobacteriales; Mycobacteriaceae
Description: bacterial SSU rRNA
Rfam family: Bacterial small subunit ribosomal RNA
Source: RNAcentral